AGUGAACGCUGGCGGUAGGCCUAACACAUGCAAGUCGAACGGCAGCACAGUAAGAGCUUGCUCUUACGGGUGGCGAGUGGCGGACGGGUGAGGAAUACAUCGGAAUCUACUUUUUCGUGGGGGAUAACGUAGGGAAACUUACGCUAAUACCGCAUACGACCUACGGGUGAAAGCAGGGGAUCUUCGGACCUUGCGCGAUUGAAUGAGCCGAUGUCGGAUUAGCUAGUUGGCGGGGUAAAGGCCCACCAAGGCGACGAUCCGUAGCUGGUCUGAGAGGAUGAUCAGCCACACUGGAACUGAGACACGGUCCAGACUCCUACGGGAAGCAGCAGUGGGGAAUAUUGGACAAUGGGCGCAAGCCUGAUCCAGCCAUACCGCGUGGGUGAAGAAGGCCUUCGGGUUGUAAAGCCCUUUUGUUGGGAAAGAAAAGCAGCAGGUUAAUACCCCGCUGUUCUGACGGUACCCAAAGAGUAAGCACCGGCUAACUUCGUG
This 492-nucleotide ribosomal RNA is filed under the name uncultured bacterium. Its description in RNAcentral is "partial 16S ribosomal RNA". It matches the Rfam family "Bacterial small subunit ribosomal RNA", at positions 29 to 507 of the family's 1533-position model. The record is from RNAcentral.